This is a long non-coding RNA of Pygocentrus nattereri (red-bellied piranha), 551 nucleotides long. The record is from Ensembl. NCBI's taxonomy places the organism in Eukaryota, Metazoa, Chordata, Actinopteri, Characiformes, Serrasalmidae.
AGUAAUCAAUGUUCCAAUACAAAUUUGAAUAGUGGAGAUCAUUAGAAGAUAAUUAGAAGAUAGUGUUUUUGUGUGUCUGUAGGUCAGUCUUGCAGGCCUGCAGUUCUGCUCUCUGUGUCCUGAUCUUCCUGACCACUACACUAAGUACUGUAUCAGGUGGUUCUCCAGUGAAGGUGAAGCUUCAUGACUCUGCUACUCUGUCCUGCUCUGUGAGAUGCUCUGGUUUAGCGAGAUGGACUGUGUUCCACAAACGCAGUGACACUCUGGCUGAGUGUGAUCAGACUUCAUGUAGAUCAGUGAAGGAGGGAUAUCAGAUGAUCCACGAUGAGUACCUGAAGGGGAAUCUCUCUCUCAUCACCACCGAUGCUGAUUUCAGUAAGAGAGGCUGGUACACGAGUGACUGUGAUGAUAAAGACAUCUGUGAUGUGCAUCUUCAAAGUGAGCUGAGGUUCUUCUUGAUCAGCUACACGUCCUUUCAGACCCACAGCGCUGAGUGGUCUUCUCACAGUGGAAGGAUGGACAGAAACACCUGUGGAUGUUUUCAGAUCUGA